RNAcentral lists this unclassified non-coding RNA (23 nucleotides) under Mus musculus (house mouse). RNAcentral describes it as "oocyte_clustered_small_RNA11862". The record is from RNAcentral. Lineage: Eukaryota; Metazoa; Chordata; Mammalia; Rodentia; Muridae.
UGCUAGCUGGGAAGGAAGGACAG